CAACACGAAGCCCGGGCGUCUAGAGACGAAGCUUGAGCGUGCAGAAUCGACGUCCACCGCUCGGGCGGUGAACCUGACUGCUUGGGUGACGGGGCCUCGAAGCUUGGGCGGCCAAAUUGAAGGCAUGGCCCUUACAUGAGGUAUUCUGAUUGUCAGGGCAUCCUCCUAGACUGCAUGUUCUGUUCUGUUUCAAUUCUUUUGG
This 202-nucleotide long non-coding RNA is filed under the name Vigna radiata. RNAcentral describes it as "long non-coding RNA (VRAD_LNC006733)". Lineage: Eukaryota; Viridiplantae; Streptophyta; Magnoliopsida; Fabales; Fabaceae. The record is from RNAcentral.